This 510-nucleotide ribosomal RNA is filed under the name uncultured bacterium. RNAcentral describes it as "partial 16S ribosomal RNA". It matches the Rfam family "Bacterial small subunit ribosomal RNA", at positions 28 to 507 of the family's 1533-position model. The record is from RNAcentral.
GACGAACGCUGGCGGCGUGCUUAACACAUGCAAGUCGAACGAAGAGCGAUGGAAGCUUGCUUCUAUCAAUCUUAGUGGCGAACGGGUGAGUAACGCGUAAUCAACCUGCCCUUCAGAGGGGGACAACAGUUGGAAACGACUGCUAAUACCGCAUACGAUCUAAUCUCGGCAUCGAGGAUAGAUGAAAGGUGGCCUCUACAUGUAAGCUAUCACUGAAGGAGGGGAUUGCGUCUGAUUAGCUAGUUGGAGGGGUAACGGCCCACCAAGGCGAUGAUCGGUAGCCGGUCUGAGAGGAUGAACGGCCACAUUGGGACUGAGACACGGCCCAGACUCCUACGGGAGGCAGCAGUGGGGAAUCUUCCGCAAUGGACGAAAGUCUGACGGAGCAACGCCGCGUGAGUGAUGACGGCCUUCGGGCUGUAAAGCUCUGUUAAUCGGGACGAAAGGCCUUCUUGCGAAUAGUGAGAAGGAUUGACGGUACCGGAAUAGAAAGCCACGGCUAACUACGUG